RNAcentral lists this unclassified non-coding RNA (1885 nucleotides) under Ceratitis capitata (Mediterranean fruit fly). RNAcentral describes it as "uncharacterized LOC110117554, transcript variant X1". Lineage: Eukaryota; Metazoa; Arthropoda; Insecta; Diptera; Tephritidae. The record is from RNAcentral.
CUCAAUAAUUGAAACUGCCGAUGAAGAAAUUCAUUAGAAAUGAGAUACUAAGAGCACUAUACAAAACAUCUGAAAGCACCAGGCACACCUGGCUACGAAGGCAUUACUGAUGAGGUGCUCAAAAAGCUUCAUUUAUGAUUCUUAAACUUUGUCACUCCCCGGCUUAACGCCUGUUUAACAAAAAGUGUUUUCUCGGCCCAAUGGAAAGUAGCUGAAAUCAUCUUUUGAAACCAAGGAAGCUAUGAGAAGAUGUGAAGUCCGAUCGCUCCCUUAGUCUUCUUCUCGGCAGGAGGCGCGACCGCAAUUAGAAAAUUUAACAAAAUUUUUAUUUAUACUUAUUUAAAUUAAUUUCAUUUCUAAUUUCUGGAAGUUGGUCGAGCUAUAACGUGAACCCCUGGCCUACCGAAUGUCAGUAAGCAUAGCUAAGUCAAGCAGAACGGUUGGUUGGAACGCCUCAAAAGUGGUGAUUUUAACGUCGAAGACAAUGAGCGACCUUGGCCUAACCUAAAAAGUUCGAAGAUGAGGAAUUGGUGGCUUGAAUGAGUCAAAAUCUGUGCCAAACACAAACUGAAUCGCUCGUGAAUCAUUGGAAGUGGCUCAGCAUACAAUUUUCGUGGGGUUAAAACAAUCUGGAUUUAUUCAAAAACAAGAAAAUAGGGUGCCGUUCGAGUUGAAACCGUUAGUUGACGUAACUGCUAUUUGAAAGAUCUCAAAGGUAGGUGAUUUUGCGUCGGAUUGUGACUGGAGCUGAGAAGAGGAUAUACUACGAUAACCCCACGAAGAACAUUUACUAUGUCUAGCCUGGUGAUCUUUUAAGUAUUAUGCUCUGUACAUGGUGACACCAGAUUGGUGUAGUGUACCAAGAGCUGCUAAAACCAGGCAAAACUGUUUGCAGCGAAACGUUAAUUAAUGCAUUUGAGUCGCGAAUUGUGUGAAAAACGACCAGAAACCACCGAACGACAUGAUAGGGUUAUUUCGCAACAUCACAACGUGCGGCUCCGAGUGACUGUAAGUGUCGAAGACUUCGUGUAAAAGCUGAAAUGAAUGGUCAUACUCCAACCGCCGUAUUCUUCAGACCUUACUUCUUCCGAAUGCGUUACGGGUACGGAAGAUAUCGCAAAAUGGCUAAAUAAUUGUUUUGAGGACAGAGAUGAUUUUCGAAAAGCACCUGACAGAUGGGGAAAAGUAAUCAUUCCCGAUUAACAAUACUUUGAGUGAUGAAUUUUCAACUUUUUUCUUACUAAAAAUUACUUUUUUGAACAUAAGAAAAUGGACCGAAUCAAUUUUGACUCCCAAUAGACUCGCGGCAACAAUAACCGAGAGCCAUCAAUCGUUCGGAGGCGACUUAGCAUGCACUGUGGAUCCCUUCAUUUAUUGCAAAACCAUCAAGACGCAAACCAACAGCUGGAGGAGAAUCUCGGCCGUAAAUCGUGAAACGAGCGGCUAAAAUGGAGACGAGAAAAUGCAACUUAGCUGAAGAUAGGUUUAACGAAAUUCCAACAACAACGCAAACAGAAAUUCGCCAUGUAAUUCUCUACCGGUUUCGACUUUAUUUACAGUCAAUACAAAUUUGCAGUGAAUGCCAAUUUGCAUAUUGGAUGAUUGCACCGUCUUUAAAGACUAUUUCCAAGUGGUUCCGAAGCUUGCAGACCGAACAUAUUUCCGUAGUGGACGCGCGACGAGUAGGUCAAUCAAAAUCUUACGCUGCUGACGUCACUGUAGCACUGGGGAAGUCCAAAAUUGUCCAACAUCCACGAUUGACACUUGAAAUGAUUGCUAAUGAAUUGGGCUUCAAUGUUAUGGCUGUAACCCGAAUAUUAUGUAAUCAUCUGGGAUAGACGAAGUAAUCUGCUCGAUGGGUACCACGAAUGUUAAAUGAGACCCG